CGGCAACAGCUCAAAUUUGAAAUCUGGCCUCUCGGGGUCCGAGUUGUAAUUUGUAGAGGAUGUUUUGGGUACCGCCCCGGUCUAAAUUUCUUGGAACAGAAUGUCAAAGAGGGUGAGAGCCCCGUACGGUUGGAUGCCUAGCCUCUGUGAAACUCCUUCGAC
This 162-nucleotide ribosomal RNA is filed under the name Herpotrichiellaceae sp. Its description in RNAcentral is "partial large subunit ribosomal RNA". It matches the Rfam family "Eukaryotic large subunit ribosomal RNA", at positions 99 to 261 of the family's 3401-position model. Lineage: Eukaryota; Fungi; Ascomycota; Eurotiomycetes; Chaetothyriales; Herpotrichiellaceae. The record is from RNAcentral.